AGAGUUUGAUCAUGGCUCAGAUUGAACGCUGGCGGCAGGCCUAACACAUGCAAGUCGAACGGUAACAGGAAACAGCUUGCUGUUUCGCUGACGAGUGGCGGACGGGUGAGUAAUGUCUGGGAAACUGCCUGAUGGAGGGGGAUAACUACUGGAAACGGUAGCUAAUACCGCAUAACGUCGCAAGACCAAAGAGGGGGACCUUCGGGCCUCUUGCCAUCAGAUGUGCCCAGAUGGGAUUAGCUAGUAGGUGGGGUAACGGCUCACCUAGGCGACGAUCCCUAGCUGGUCUGAGAGGAUGACCAGCCACACUGGAACUGAGACACGGUCCAGACUCCUACGGGAGGCAGCAGUGGGGAAUAUUGCACAAUGGGCGCAAGCCUGAUGCAGCCAUGCCGCGUGUAUGAAGAAGGCCUUCGGGUUGUAAAGUACUUUCAGCGGGGAGGAAGGGAGUAAAGUUAAUACCUUUGCUCAUUGACGUUACCCGCAGAAGAAGCACCGGCUAACUCCGUGCCAGCAGCCGCGGUAAUACGGAGGGUGCAAGCGUUAAUCGGAAUUACUGGGCGUAAAGCGCACGCAGGCGGUUUGUUAAGUCAGAUGUGAAAUCCCCGGGCUCAACCUGGGAACUGCAUCUGAUACUGGCAAGCUUGAGUCUCGUAGAGGGGGGUAGAAUUCCAGGUGUAGCGGUGAAAUGCGUAGAGAUCUGGAGGAAUACCGGUGGCGAAGGCGGCCCCCUGGACGAAGACUGACGCUCAGGUGCGAAAGCGUGGGGAGCAAACAGGAUUAGAUACCCUGGUAGUCCACGCCGUAAACGAUGUCGACUUGGAGGUUGUGCCCUUGAGGCGUGGCUUCCGGAGCUAACGCGUUAAGUCGACCGCCUGGGGAGUACGGCCGCAAGGUUAAAACUCAAGUGAAUUGACGGGGGCCCGCACAAGCGGUGGAGCAUGUGGUUUAAUUCGAUGCAACGCGAAGAACCUUACCUGGUCUUGACAUCCACGGAAGUUUUCAGAGAUGAGAAUGUGCCUUCGGGAACCGUGAGACAGGUGCUGCAUGGCUGUCGUCAGCUCGUGUUGUGAAAUGUUGGGUUAAGUCCCGCAACGAGCGCAACCCUUAUCCUUUGUUGCCAGCGGUCCGGCCGGGAACUCAAAGGAGACUGCCAGUGAUAAACUGGAGGAAGGUGGGGAUGACGUCAAGUCAUCAUGGCCCUUACGACCAGGGCUACACACGUGCUACAAUGGCGCAUACAAAGAGAAGCGACCUCGCGAGAGCAAGCGGACCUCAUAAAGUGCGUCGUAGUCCGGAUUGGAGUCUGCAACUCGACUCCAUGAAGUCGGAAUCGCUAGUAAUCGUGGAUCAGAAUGCCACGGUGAAUACGUUCCCGGGCCUUGUACACACCGCCCGUCACACCAUGGGAGUGGGUUGCAAAAGAAGUAGGUAGCUUAACCUUCGGGAGGGCGCUUACCACUUUGUGAUUCAUGACUGGGGUGAAGUCGUAACAAGGUAACCGUAGGGGAACCUGCGGUUG
This 1522-nucleotide ribosomal RNA is filed under the name metagenome. RNAcentral describes it as "bacterial SSU rRNA". It matches the Rfam family "Bacterial small subunit ribosomal RNA". The record is from RNAcentral.